UCGAGAAUCUUUCGCAAUGGGCGAAAGCCUGACGAAGCGACGCCGUGUGAGCGAUGAAGGCCUUCGGGUUGUAAAGCUCUUUCGCCUGUGAACAAGUGAGUCUGACGAACAAUCAGAUAAAUUGAGGGUAACAGGUAAAGAAGCACCGGCUAACUCCGUGCCAGCAGCUGCGGUAAUACGGAGGGUGCAAGCAUUAAUCGGAUUUAUUGGGCGUAAAGGGCGCGUAGGCGGGUCUUUAAGUCAGAUGUGAAAUCCCGAGGCUCAACCUCGGAACAGCAUUUGAAACUGGAGACCUUGAGGGUAGAAGGAGAGAAUGGAAUUCCACAAGUAGCGGUGAAAUGCGUAGAUAUGUGGAAGAACACCGGUGGCGAAGGCGAUUCUCUAUUUUAUUCCUGACGCUGAGGCGCGAAAGUAAGGGGAUCAAACAGGAUUAGAUACCCCCGUAGUCC
RNAcentral lists this ribosomal RNA (449 nucleotides) under uncultured bacterium. Its description in RNAcentral is "bacterial SSU rRNA". It matches the Rfam family "Bacterial small subunit ribosomal RNA", at positions 355 to 796 of the family's 1533-position model. The record is from RNAcentral.